AAUGAACGUUGGCGGCAGGCUUAACACAUGCAAGUCGAACGAAAAGGUAAUUUCGGUUACUGGAUUCGUGGCGGACGGGUGAGUAUAACAUGGAAAUCUACCAAGCAGUGGGGGAUAACAGUUGGAAACGACUGAUAAUACCGCAUACGCCAUAUUGGGAAAACUAAGGUGCUGUUUGAUGAGUCCAUGCCGGAUUAGCUAGUUGGUAGGGUAAAGGCCUACCAAGGCGACGAUCUGUAGCUGGUUUGAGAGGAUGAUCAGCCACACUGGGACUGAGACACGGCCCAGACUCCUACGGGAGGCAGCAGUGAGGAAUAUUGCACAAUGGGCGAAAGCCUGAUGCAGCCAUGCCGCGUGAAUGAAGAAGGUUUUCGGACUGUAAAGUUCUUUCAGUGGUGAGAAUAGUGAUGCUAACCACAGAAGAAGUCCCGGCUAACUCCGUGCCAGCCGCCGCGGUAAU
This 460-nucleotide ribosomal RNA is filed under the name uncultured bacterium. Its description in RNAcentral is "bacterial SSU rRNA". It matches the Rfam family "Bacterial small subunit ribosomal RNA", at positions 29 to 524 of the family's 1533-position model. The record is from RNAcentral.